AACUUUUUCCCAUUCAAUAAAUACUCAAAUAAUUUUUUAUUAUUCUUUACUUUAUAAGAAUAUCGAAAUUUUUAUAUAAAAUGAAUAUUUUUGCUCCAACUUGAAAAAGCUUAUCGAUGACAUAACCUUCGCAACACAAAUGUCUUACGGUCAUACAUAACAUUGUGCAGUUUCCAAGCAACCUAAUUAAAAGGAUAAUAUAUGAUUUUUUAAUUGAAAAUAAUCAUUUUUAUUUACAUAUAUUAACUUACUGAUUAAUUUCAGUAUAUCAAGUAAAUUGAACAAGUUUUCAAACAUUGUAAAUUCUAAAUUCAAAGAUGAUAUCCAGACAAUUUUGUCGAUACUUUUCGAUUAGUAACCACUUUUGGCAAUCGUCUAAUAAAUCAUUAUUAGCCAAAUUGAGAAAAAAAACUGGCUACACUUUUUCUAAUUGCAAAAAAGCUUUGGAAUUACAUGAUAAUGACUUUGGAAAGGCUGAAGCAUGGCUUAAAGAACAAGCAACAGCUCUUGGUUGGUCAAAAGCUGAAAAACUUCAAGGAAGAUCAACGACCCAAGGUUUAAUAGCUGUUAUGUGCAGCAAAGAUCAUGGAGCUAUGGUUGAAUUAAAUUGUGAAACAGACUUCGUUGCUAGGAAUAAAACCUUUCAUAGUCUUGCUGAAACAAUCAUUUCGGAAGUUACCAAAUUUGCUGGAAAUUUGGUGUCAAAAGAGCCUGUUUAUAAACUACCUUUACAUACAGAUUGUUUAAAAGAUAUCAAAGCUCAUGAUGGAAAAAUCUUAGCUGAUCAUGUAGCUUUGACGAUUGGAAAUGUUGGAGAAAACAUCACUUUAAAACGAGCACUUUGUAUGAAAGUGAGUUCACCUAUCCAGUUAGUUGGAUGUACACAUCCAGCUCCAGUUAACACAAUUCCUGUUUCAUUCGGAAAAUAUGGAGCUUUGUUGGCAUUUAAAUCAGAUCCUCCCAACAGACUACUAGGCAUGCAGCUUUGCCAACAUAUCAUUGGGAUGAAUCCUUCAAAGAUCGGACAUCCAAAUGAUGAAGUCAAUGAAAACAGUGACGAUGAAUCUACUUUAAUUUUUCAAGAAUUUUUAUUAGAUCCAAGUCUUAAUGUUCAACAAGCUUUGAUGGCUGCAAAUGCAGAAGUUAUAGAUUUUUGCCGUUUUGAAACUGGUGAAAAUCUUCAACAUGAAGACUCUGAUGAGGCACCAGCAGAGAAGGAAUCUGUCAAAUCGUGUAGUUAAACUAAAAAUAUUCAAAUGUUAUCUACAAAAUGCAUUUCUACAAAUAAAUAAAUAGAAAGAUAUUUAUAAAAGCUAU
RNA transcript from Chelonus insularis, 1317 nucleotides. It is a transcript of the gene named elongation factor Ts, mitochondrial, with no coding region annotated. The transcript is spliced from 5 exons. The record is from RefSeq and is a predicted model, not a curated record. Lineage: Eukaryota; Metazoa; Arthropoda; Insecta; Hymenoptera; Braconidae.